Molecule: long non-coding RNA, 463 nt
Filed under: Homo sapiens (human)
Lineage: Eukaryota; Metazoa; Chordata; Mammalia; Primates; Hominidae
Description: novel transcript
Source: RNAcentral
ACUCCUCCUUCCAACGUUGUUCGGACUCUCAUGCCGCUGGCCGCUGUCCGAGUCGACCAUGCUGUGUCAUCCCUCCAGCCCAUGCCGAGGCCUGGUUCUCUGUUAGGGAUGCCGUCCCCCUGCCAGUGCGCCUGGGGAGGCGGUCGCCCACCCCGCGGAGGGUCGGGACCCUCACCCUGCCCCGCAAAGCGCCCUGUUCCUAGGAUCGCAGUGUGUGUGUGUGUGUGUGUGUGUGUGUGUGCGCGCUAAUUUGGGGGACCCGCACCCUGCCCCCCUCACCCUGCCCCGCAAGGCGUCCUCCUGGCUGUGGUGGCGGGCACCUGAAAUCCAAGCUACUCAGGAGACUGAGGCAGGAGAAUUGCUUGAGCCCAGGAAGCAGAGGUUUCAGUGAGCCAAGAUCACACCAUUGCAAUCCAGCCUGGGCAACAGAAGCGAAACUCUGUCUCAAAAAUAAAUAAAUAAA